ACAAAGUCGAGGCUUUUGCUUGGAAGGCCUGUGCUGGCAUUGCACCAGUUGGGGAACUUCAGAAACACAAGAAAAUGGUGAAUGAUGCUAACUGUCCACUAUCUACUUGCUAAGCACAUUUGGAAAUUGCGUGGUUUACAUUACUGGACUGGAUUUGAUUACAAAGGUGAUUUCUGCUUGUGGGCAAUGUAUGUGAAUUUGAUAACAAAGGUGAUUUCUGCUUGUGGGCAAUGUAUGUAAGGCUAAAUGCAAUCAUAGCUUUGAUUACUUCUUUGUCUUGGCUCGGAGCAAUUCAUGAUUUAGUGGGAGGCAGAAAUCUGCUAAUGAUAGUGUUGAAUUUGCUUACGGAAUAUUAGAAGAUCACAGAGAGAACUGCAAAACUUAUACUAGUGCUGCUUAUCAAGUAAAUUUUGGCGGUACUCAAUUCAAAGAAAGUACGGCAGUAGUAGGUGUUAUUGUAAGGAACUCCCUAGGUAGUGUGAUGACUUGGUGCUGAGAAUAUGGAACAUAUUAGACGUCAAUCAUAUAAAAGUUGUUAGUGCAAUGUUGUCAAUCAGGACUUUGGGCUUCUCAAGUAUUCAUGUUGAACGGGAUUCCUUAACGGUGAUUAAUGGUAUCAAGGCUGUGGGAGAUAAUUUUCUAUAAUUAGACACAUCAGUAUGAUUAUUCAAAACCGACUAAGAUGUUUUCAAGAGAUUCAAGUAUCUUAUGUCAAGUGAUGAGGUAAUAAAGUUGCUCUGCUACUUGCUCGGUUCGCGCAGAAUGAAGGACGGAUGAGAUUUUGGAUCGAAGAAGUUCAAAUCCAAUGGAAGUCAUUGCUUGUGUACUUUUUGAAUCUAUUUAUUUGAUACAAUUAUCUUUCUCCCAAUAAUAAAUAAAUAAAUAUAUAAAAAGA
Molecule: non-coding RNA, 895 nt
Organism: Camellia sinensis
Lineage: Eukaryota; Viridiplantae; Streptophyta; Magnoliopsida; Ericales; Theaceae
Source: RefSeq, a predicted model, not a curated record